CAAAAUGCGAUACUUGGUGUGAAUUGCAGAAUCCCGUGAACCAUCGAGUUUUUGAACGCAAGUUGCGCCCGAAGCCAUUCGGCUGAGGGCACGUCUGCCUGGGCGUCACGC
This 111-nucleotide ribosomal RNA is filed under the name Calotis dentex. RNAcentral's name for it is "5.8S ribosomal RNA". It matches the Rfam family "5.8S ribosomal RNA", at positions 49 to 154 of the family's 154-position model. From Rfam's summary of the family: 5.8S ribosomal RNA (5.8S rRNA) is a component of the large subunit of the eukaryotic ribosome. It is transcribed by RNA polymerase I as part of the 45S precursor that also contains 18S and 28S rRNA. Functionally, it is thought that 5.8S rRNA may be involved in ribosome translocation. RNAcentral also lists the same sequence under 9 other names. The record is from RNAcentral. Lineage: Eukaryota; Viridiplantae; Streptophyta; Magnoliopsida; Asterales; Asteraceae.